GAUGAACGCUGGCGGCGUGCCUAAUACAUGCAAGUCGAGCGAGAAGCUUGGAAAUGACGCUUCGGUUGAUUUUCCAAGCGGACAGCGGCGGACGGGUGAGUAACGCGUAGGCAACCUGCCCCUGACAGAGGGAUAGCCAUUGGAAACGAUGAUUAAAACCUCAUGACACCGUAGUAGCACAUGCUACAUCGGUCAAAGAUUUAUCGGUGUAAGAAGGGCUCGCGUCUGAUUAGCUAGUUGGAAGGGUAAAGGCCUACCAAGGCGACGAUCAGUAGCCGGUCUGAGAGGAUGAACGGCCACAUUGGAACUGAGACACGGUCCAAACUCCUACGGGAGGCAGCAGUGGGGAAUAUUGCACAAUGGGGGGAACCCUGAUGCAGCGACGCCGCGUGAGCGAAGAAGGUUUUCGAAUCGUAAAGCUCUGUCCUAUGAGAAGAUAAUGACGGUAUCAUAGGAGGAAGCCCCGGCUAAAUACGUGCCAGCAGCCGCGGUAAUACGUAUGGGGCGAGCGUUGUCCGGAAUUAUUGGGCGUAAAGGGUACGUAGGCGGUUUUUUAAGUCAGGUGUGAAAGCGUGAGGCUUAACCUCAUUAAGCACUUGAAACUGGAAGACUUGAGUGAAGGAGAGGAAAGUGGAAUUCCUAGUGUAGCGGUGAAAUGCGUAGAUAUUAGGAGGAAUACCGGUGGCGAAGGCGACUUUCUGGACUUUUACUGACGCUCAGGUACGAAAGCGUGGGGAGCAAACAGG
RNAcentral lists this ribosomal RNA (746 nucleotides) under uncultured Parvimonas sp. Its description in RNAcentral is "bacterial SSU rRNA". It matches the Rfam family "Bacterial small subunit ribosomal RNA", at positions 28 to 776 of the family's 1533-position model. Lineage: Bacteria; Bacillati; Bacillota; Tissierellia; Tissierellales; Peptoniphilaceae. The record is from RNAcentral.